UUGCGCUGCUGUUUCCGCCGCAAUGCAUUGGGAAUAUCCGACGCCACUUCCAUCAUGUGGAUGCGCAGCGCCGCGCGGUGGUUACUCCACAGUUUCCAGCAAGUUUUCACGUAGCAGCAUACCGUGACGGCCGACGGCAGCCACUGUGUGAAAAGCGCCACGUACAGCGAACUACCACAAAACUGGACACGAUAAUGGCGUUGGACCAAAUCCAGCUGAAGCAAAUCAAAAGGAUACAUUUUUUCUCAGUGUGUCGUUGCCGGUAGGAUGCCGGCCAUGAGAUGGCCCACAAUCGGUCCAGAGCGAUGAUGGUGAUGGUUAACAAAGUUUGUGACGUCCCCAGGAAAUCGAAAUACACCCAAGUGGUGCACUGCCAGCGGGAUAACGGCCAAUGUCGGAAGACGGUUAUCAGGGCAAAGUGGGUCAUGCAAACGGAGCCAGUGAGGCAGUCAGAAAUGGCCAGAUUGAAGAGGGACGCGAUUCUGGGAGAAGUGAGAGUGAAGACAGUGGAAGGGCCCGAAGGAGAAAUGUCUGUAUAUACCUAACAACAUAAAACGCAACAUUAGAAAUCUGUAUUUACGCUACGACAUACAUAUCGAAAGGACUACCAGGCGAAAGUCUCCGGAUGCCCAGGCCCGCAAAAUCAUAAUAAAAUAGCGGAUACAACCUGUGGCUGUCGUGUGCUGCAUUGAACUGUAAAAUUUCGAACUGUGUUUGACCACGCCCUAACGACGACAGCAGCUAAAAUACUACUUUCCACAUAGGACGUUAAUAUACUACGUCUCUACGAAAAAAUGAGUGUUAAAAGCCGCUGAAUCUGGA
This is a long non-coding RNA of Paramacrobiotus metropolitanus, 822 nucleotides long. RefSeq lists it as uncharacterized. The record is from RefSeq and is a predicted model, not a curated record. Lineage: Eukaryota; Metazoa; Tardigrada; Eutardigrada; Parachela; Macrobiotidae. The transcript has 3 exons.